RNAcentral lists this ribosomal RNA (506 nucleotides) under uncultured bacterium. RNAcentral describes it as "partial 16S ribosomal RNA". It matches the Rfam family "Bacterial small subunit ribosomal RNA", at positions 29 to 523 of the family's 1533-position model. The record is from RNAcentral.
AGUGAACGCUGGCGGUAGGCCUAACACAUGCAAGUCGAACGGCAGCACAGGAGAGCUUACUCUCUGGGUGGCGAGUGGCGGACGGGUGAGGAAUACAUCGGAAUCUACUCUGUCGUGGGGGAUAACGUAGGGAAACUUACGCUAAUACCGCACACGACCUACGGGUGAAAGCAGGGGACCUUCGGGCCUUGCGCGAUUGAAUGAGCCGAUGUCGGAUUAGCUAGUUGGCGGGGUAAAGGCCCACCAAGGCGACGAUCCGUAGCUGGUCUGGGAGGAUGAUCAGCCACACUGGAACUGGGACACGGUCCAGACUCCUACGGAGGGCAGCAGUGGGGAAUAUUGGACAAUGGGCGCAAGCCUGAUCCAGCCAUACCGCGUGGGUGAAGAAGGCCUUCGGGUUGUAAAGCCCUUUUGUUGGGAAAGAGAUCCAGCUGGCUAAUACCCGGUUGGGAUGACGGUACCCAAAGAAUAAGCACCGGCUAACUUCGUGCCAGCAGCCGCCGUAA